Small nucleolar RNA from Hippopotamus amphibius kiboko, 216 nucleotides. RefSeq annotates it as small nucleolar RNA U3. The record is from RefSeq and is a predicted model, not a curated record. NCBI's taxonomy places the organism in Eukaryota, Metazoa, Chordata, Mammalia, Artiodactyla, Hippopotamidae. The transcript has a single exon.
AAGACUAUACUUUCAGGGAUCAUUUCUAUAGUUUGUGACUAGAGAAGUUUCUCUGAACGUGUAGAGCACCCGAAACCACGAGGAGGAGGCGCAGUGUUCUCUCCUGAGCGUGAAGCCGGUUGUUGGUGUUGCUUCGUGCAGCUGCCAUCAGCCGUUGAUGAUCGUUCUUCUCUUCCUUUAGGAAGAGUGAGAGGGGGAGGACGCCGUCUGAGUGGU